AACCAAGCAAUAUCUGUGCAAUCCUUACUACCCCCCUGCCAACCGCCCCACGAAUCGCGGAACUCUUGAUUUUUGUUCUGUUCUACAAUCGUCGUGCAAUAUUUAGAACCAACUCUAGUCAAUAAAUUCGUUUUGCUUCCCCUUGAAGGAUACUUGUCCAAGAAAAAAGGAUACCCCCAAAACGUUUUUUUUUGUUUCGUAUUUUUUCGAGUGUGUGAUCUGAAAGUGCGGUCUCGUCUGACUCUAAACUACGCGAAAAGUAGCAAGAAACGGUAAUAAAAAAUAAUACACAAAAAAAUAUAUAUAGACACUAUCUUUCAAACGUUGGACAAAGAAGCGUGCAAGGGAGACAGACAUCGAGACAGACAGAGCGAAGCAGAGAGAGAGAGAGAGACAGAGUGAGAGAGUGCUAGACUUGGAAGAGAGCGAGAGAGCCAACGAGUCGACGCGAGACUUUGAGAAAGUUUUUUUUUUCGUGCAAUCAAUAUAUAUUAUAGUCAGAGUCCUUCCCCACACCCCCCCCACCAACCCAAAAAAACUAUAUCCGAGCAACUUUCAAGCAGCAGCUGUAUGACAGUAUUUCCAGCCCAACCGGCACCUCGGCACACCCACUAUUUUCGUCUCGGCCCCAAAGCAUAUUGAGUAAAAGCAAGAGAGCAAUCGAACAGCCAUCAUUUAUCAGGGGCAAGAAGAACAACAAGAUAUUGAAGAAAAUCCUUGGAAAUGAGACAUUUUUAAAACUGCAGAAAGCAGAAAGUAUCUGGAAAAUAAAAACAGAAACGAAACGGAGCAGAACCGAAUCGAAUCGAA
Drosophila obscura is the source of this 810-nucleotide long non-coding RNA. RefSeq lists it as uncharacterized. The transcript is spliced from 2 exons. Lineage: Eukaryota; Metazoa; Arthropoda; Insecta; Diptera; Drosophilidae. The record is from RefSeq and is a predicted model, not a curated record.